CAGUAGCCGCGGGAAUACGUAGGGCGCAAGCGUUAUCCGGAAUUAUUGGGCGUAAAGAGCUCGUAGGCGGUUUGUCGCGUCUGCCGUGAAAGUCCGGGGCUCAACCCCGGAUCUGCGGUGGGUACGGGCAGACUAGAGUGAUGUAGGGGAGACUGGAAUUCCUGGUGUAGCGGUGAAAUGCGCAGAUAUCAGGAGGAACACCGAUGGCGAAGGCAGGUCUCUGGGCAUUAACUGACGCUGAGGAGCGAAAGCAUGGGGAGCGAACAGGAUUAGAUACCCGCGUAGUCCCUGUCUCUUAUAA
RNAcentral lists this ribosomal RNA (301 nucleotides) under uncultured bacterium. RNAcentral's name for it is "partial 16S ribosomal RNA". It matches the Rfam family "Bacterial small subunit ribosomal RNA", at positions 509 to 809 of the family's 1533-position model. The record is from RNAcentral.